This 1109-nucleotide long non-coding RNA is filed under the name Apteryx owenii (little spotted kiwi). RNAcentral's name for it is "lncRNA (ENSAOWG00000001721.1)". The record is from RNAcentral. Lineage: Eukaryota; Metazoa; Chordata; Aves; Apterygiformes; Apterygidae.
CCCAGGCCAUCCCCAUGUCCCCUGGGGUGUCCUGUGUUCCCCCAGGCCAUCCCCAUGUCCCCCAGGGUGUUCCCACAGCCCCCGGGGUGUCCCCAUGUCCCCCCCAGGCCAUUCCCUUGUCCCCCAGGCCGUCCCCAUGUCCCACAGGGUGUUCCCAUGGCCCCCGGGGUGUCCCCCUGUCCCCCCCAGGCCAUCCCCAUGUCCCCUGGGGUGUCCUGUGUCCCCCCAGGCCAUCCCCCUGUCACCCCGGGCCGUCCCCAUGUCCCCCAGGCCAUCCCAUGUCCCCCGGGGCGUCCUCAUGUCCCCCGGGGCAUCCUCAAGUCCCCCAGGGUGUCCUCGUGUCCUCCCAGGGUGUCCUCGUGUCCCCUGGGCUGUCCCCAAGGUCCCUGGGGUGCCCCUGUGUCUGCAUCAGGGUUUUCCCACGUCCUUUGGGGUGUCCCCAUGUCCCCCAGGGCAUCCCUGCAGCCCCCAGGAUGUCUCUCUGUCCCCCAGGGCAUCCCCACGGUCCCCAGGGGUGUCUCUGCGUCCCCACCAGUGUGUGCCCACCUCCUUCGGGGCGUCCCCGCAUCCCCCAGGGCGUCCUCGUGUCCCCCAGGGCAUCCCCGUGGUCCCCAGGGGUGUCCCUGUGUCCCCACCUCCUUUGGAGUGUCCUCUUGUCCCCCAGGGCAUCCCCACGGUCCCCAGGGGUGUCCCUGCGUCCCCACUUCCUUUGGGGUGUCCCCGCGUCCCCCUGGCGCGUCACCGUGGUCCCUGGUACAUACGUGCGUCCCUCCCCAUGUGUCCCCGCGUCCCCCGAGGCAUCUUUGCAUCCCCUGGGGGUGUCCCGUGUCCCUCUGGGGGUGUCAUCACAGCCCUCUGGCCAUUCCUGCAUCUCCCAGGUGUUCCCAUGUCCCCCGGCGUGUCCCCACGGCCCCCAGGCUGUCCCCAUGUCCCCCCCAGGCCAUCCCCGUGUCCCCUGGGGUGUCCUGUGUCCCCCCAGGCCAUCCCCACGGCCCUUGGGGUGUUACCAUGGCCCCCAGGGUGUCCCCAUGUCUCCCCCAGGCCAUCCCCUUGUCCCCUGGGGUGUCCCCAUGUCCCCUGGGGUGUCCUGUGUCCCCCCAGGCCAUCCC